UUCCUACGGGGGUGCAGCAGUKGGGAAUMYKGCASAAKGGGCGCAAGCCUGAAUGCAGCCAUGCCGCGUGUAUGAAGAAGGCCUUCGGGUUGUAAAGUACUUUCAGCGGGGAGGAAGGCGAUGUGGUUAAUAACCGCAUCGAUUGACGUUACCCGCAGAAGAAGCACCGGCUAACUCCGUGCCAGCAGCCGCGGUAAUACGGAGGGUGCAAGCGUUAAUCGGAAUUACUGGGCGUAAAGCGCACGCAGGCGGUCUGUCAAGUCGGAUGUGAAAUCCCCGGGCUUAACCUGGGAACUGCAUUCGAAACUGGCAGGCUAGAGUCUUGUAGAGGGGGGUAGAAUUCCAGGUGUAGCGGUGAAAUGCGUAGAGAUCUGGAGGAAUACCGGUGGCGAAGGCGGCCCCCUGGACAAAGACUGACGCCUUCAGGUGCGAAAGCCGCCUKKGGAGCAAACAGGAUUAGAUACCCGGGUAGUCAG
This 476-nucleotide ribosomal RNA is filed under the name Pantoea sp. Its description in RNAcentral is "bacterial SSU rRNA". The record is from RNAcentral. Lineage: Bacteria; Pseudomonadati; Pseudomonadota; Gammaproteobacteria; Enterobacterales; Erwiniaceae.